RNAcentral lists this ribosomal RNA (1087 nucleotides) under Xanthomonas euvesicatoria. Its description in RNAcentral is "bacterial SSU rRNA". It matches the Rfam family "Bacterial small subunit ribosomal RNA", at positions 56 to 1129 of the family's 1533-position model. The record is from RNAcentral. Lineage: Bacteria; Pseudomonadati; Pseudomonadota; Gammaproteobacteria; Lysobacterales; Lysobacteraceae.
UGCAGUCGAACGGCAGCACAGUAAGAGCUUGCUCUUAUGGGUGGCGAGUGGCGGACGGGUGAGGAAUACAUCGGAAUCUACUCUUUCGUGGGGGAUAACGUAGGGAAACUUACGCUAAUACCGCAUACGACCUACGGGUGAAAGCGGAGGACCUUCGGGCUUCGCGCGGUUGAAUGAGCCGAUGUCGGAUUAGCUAGUUGGCGGGGUAAAGGCCCACCAAGGCGACGAUCCGUAGCUGGUCUGAGAGGAUGAUCAGCCACACUGGAACUGAGACACGGUCCAGACUCCUACGGGAGGCAGCAGUGGGGAAUAUUGGACAAUGGGCGCAAGCCUGAUCCAGCCAUGCCGCGUGGGUGAAGAAGGCCUUCGGGUUGUAAAGCCCUUUUGUUGGGAAAGAAAAGCAGUCGGUUAAUACCCGAUUGUUCUGACGGUACCCAAAGAAUAAGCACCGGCUAACUUCGUGCCAGCAGCCGCGGUAAUACGAAGGGUGCAAGCGUUACUCGGAAUUACUGGGCGUAAAGCGUGCGUAGGUGGUGGUUUAAGUCUGUUGUGAAAGCCCUGGGCUCAACCUGGGAAUUGCAGUGGAUACUGGAUCACUAGAGUGUGGUAGAGGGUAGCGGAAUUCCCGGUGUAGCAGUGAAAUGCGUAGAGAUCGGGAGGAACAUCCGUGGCGAAGGCGGCUACCUGGACCAACACUGACACUGAGGCACGAAAGCGUGGGGAGCAAACAGGAUUAGAUACCCUGGUAGUCCACGCCCUAAACGAUGCGAACUGGAUGUUGGGUGCAAUUUGGCACGCAGUAUCGAAGCUAACGCGUUAAGUUCGCCGCCUGGGGAGUACGGUCGCAAGACUGAAACUCAAAGGAAUUGACGGGGGCCCGCACAAGCGGUGGAGUAUGUGGUUUAAUUCGAUGCAACGCGAAGAACCUUACCUGGUCUUGACAUCCACGGAACUUUCCAGAGAUGGAUUGGUGCCUUCGGGAACCGUGAGACAGGUGCUGCAUGGCUGUCGUCAGCUCCUGUCCUGAGAAGUUGGGGUUAAUUCCCGCAACGAGCGCAACCCUUGUUCUUAUUUGCCACCACCUAAU